RNAcentral lists this ribosomal RNA (253 nucleotides) under uncultured bacterium. RNAcentral describes it as "partial 16S ribosomal RNA". It matches the Rfam family "Bacterial small subunit ribosomal RNA", at positions 524 to 776 of the family's 1533-position model. The record is from RNAcentral.
UACGGAGGGGGCUAGCGUUGUUCGGAAUUACUGGGCGUAAAGCGCACGUAGGCGGCUUUGUAAGUUAGAGGUGAAAUCCCGGGGCUCAACUCCGGAAUUGCCUUUAAAACUGCAUCUCUAGAAUUGUGGAGAGGUAAGUGGAAUUCCGAGUGUAGAGGUGAAAUUCGUAGAUAUUCGGAAGAACACCAGUGGCGAAGGCGACUUACUGGACACAUACUGACGCUGAGGUGCGAAAGCGUGGGGAGCAAACAGG